This 73-nucleotide transfer RNA is filed under the name Eutrema salsugineum. It matches the Rfam family "tRNA". Rfam says of the family: Transfer RNA (tRNA) molecules are approximately 80 nucleotides in length. Lineage: Eukaryota; Viridiplantae; Streptophyta; Magnoliopsida; Brassicales; Brassicaceae. The record is from Rfam by way of RNAcentral.
GGUGCUGUGGUGUAGUGGUUAUCACGUUUGCUUUACACGCAAAAGGUCUCCGGUUCGAUCCCGGGCAGCGCCA